RNAcentral lists this ribosomal RNA (506 nucleotides) under Pristolycus sagulatus. RNAcentral's name for it is "partial 16S rRNA". The stretch from base 383 to 506 matches the Rfam family "Bacterial large subunit ribosomal RNA", at positions 2473 to 2597 of the family's 2925-position model. The record is from RNAcentral. Lineage: Eukaryota; Metazoa; Arthropoda; Insecta; Coleoptera; Lampyridae.
GUCUUUUUGAUUAUAAUUUAAGGUCUAAUCUGCUCAAUGAUUAAUUAAAUUGCCGCAGUAUCUUGACUGUGCAAAGGUAGCAUAAUAAUUAGCUUUUUUAUUGGAAGCUGGAAUGAAUGAUUGGACGAGAAAAUUUCUGUCUCUUUAUUAUUUUUAUUGAAUUUUACUUUUAAGUUAAAAGGCUUAAAUUUUUUUAAUAGACGAGAAGACCCUAUAGAGUUUUAAUUUUUAAUAUUUAAUUUAUUAUUUGGAAUUUUUAAUAUUUUAUUUAGUAAAAAAUUUAGUUGGGGUGACUAAAAGAUUUAUUUAACUCUUUUAAUUAAUAUCAUUUAUUUAUGAAUAUAAAAUCUAUAUUUUUAAGUUUAAAAUAAAUUACCUUAGGGAUAACAGCGUAAUUUCUCUUUAGAGUUCUUAUUAAUAGAAAAGUUUGCGACCUCGAUGUUGGAUUAAAAUUUAUUUUAGGUGUAGAAGCUUAAAAAUUAAGUCUGUUCGACUUUUGUAAUUUU